UAACAAAGGAAUUGAUUAUUCAUUUUUGGGGUAUGAACCCAACAGCUUAAUUUUUAGCUUACUUUAUU
This 68-nucleotide transfer RNA is filed under the name Uroteuthis duvaucelii. RNAcentral's name for it is "tRNA-Met". Lineage: Eukaryota; Metazoa; Mollusca; Cephalopoda; Myopsida; Loliginidae. The record is from RNAcentral.